This 505-nucleotide ribosomal RNA is filed under the name uncultured bacterium. RNAcentral's name for it is "partial 16S ribosomal RNA". It matches the Rfam family "Bacterial small subunit ribosomal RNA", at positions 28 to 507 of the family's 1533-position model. The record is from RNAcentral.
GACGAACGCUGGCGGCGUGCCUAAUACAUGCAAGUAGGACGCACAGUCUAUACCGUAGCUUGCUACACCAUAGGCUGUGAGUUGCGAACGGGUGAGUAACGCGUAGGUAACCUGCCUAUUAGAGGGGGAUAACUAUUGGAAACGAUAGCUAAUACCGCAUAACAGUAUGUAACACAUGUUAGAUGCUUGAAAGAUGCAAUUGCAUCGCUAGUAGAUGGACCUGCGUUGUAUUAGCUAGUAGGUAGGGUAAUGGCCUACCUAGGCGACGAUACAUAGCCGACCUGAGAGGGUGAUCGGCCACACUGGGACUGAGACACGGCCCAGACUCCUACGGGAGGCAGCAGUAGGGAAUCUUCGGCAAUGGGGGGAACCCUGACCGAGCAACGCCGCGUGAGUGAAGAAGGUUUUCGGAUCGUAAAGCUCUGUUGUUAAGGAAGAACGAGUGUGAGAAUGUAAAGUUCAUACUGUGACGGUACUUAACCAGAAAGGGACGGCUAACUACGUG